AGCAGCCGCGGUAAUUCCAGCUCCAAUAGCGUAUAUUAAAGUUGUUGCAGUUAAAAAGCUCGUAGUUGAAUUUCGGGGUCAGCAAGUUGGUCGUGCCACUGGUAUGCACUGGCUUUGCUGAUUCCUCCUUCUUGUAGAACCGUAAUGCCAUUAAGUUGGUGUUACGGGGAAACAGGACUGUUACUUUGAAAAAUUAGAGUGUUUAAAGCAGGCUAACGCUUGAAUACAUUAGCAUGGAAUAA
Molecule: ribosomal RNA, 242 nt
Filed under: uncultured Glomus
Lineage: Eukaryota; Fungi; Glomeromycota; Glomeromycetes; Glomerales; Glomeraceae
Description: partial 18S ribosomal RNA
Rfam family: Eukaryotic small subunit ribosomal RNA
Source: RNAcentral